Molecule: long non-coding RNA, 4162 nt
Filed under: Sus scrofa (pig)
Lineage: Eukaryota; Metazoa; Chordata; Mammalia; Artiodactyla; Suidae
Description: lncRNA (ENSSSCG00025072381.1)
Source: RNAcentral
UUUUCUGAAAUGUCUUUAUUUUACCUCCUUUUCAGGUGAAAAUAUACAUUAGUAGCUAAUUCUAGAUAAACAGUGUUCAUUCAGAACCAUGUAGCACUAUUCCACGCUCUUCUAGCUUCUGUUCUUACUCUUCAAAAGUCUGCUUCGGUCUACUUGUUCUUUCUAUGAUGUAUCUAAAGUGACAGAGAAAAUUAACCAUCAGUUUUCUGAGUAGUCAUGCCCUCUAGAAGCUGCGAGUCUUGCCCAAUUCUCUUUUGUAUUAUAGAAAAUUGCUGCUCCUUCAUUCCCCUGGAACUCCAUGGAUUGAAAAGUGAUUCAGCUCCAUGAGUAAUGUGAAGUUUUAUUGGUAGGUCUUCUCACUUUCAGCCUUACUUCCUGCCUCCCACAAUACCUCCUUCGUUGACUGUGAGAGAGUUGAACAUCCUUAGAUCAAAAAGCACAGAGCAGUUCAGGUAUAGCUUCUUCAUUGCUCAUUAGAUUGGGAGUAAACAUCCCUCUGAAAGUUUAACAAUCAGGCCGCAAAGAUGCCUUGGUCUUUUGGCUCCCAGAGGAGCUUGGAACAUAGCCCAUCUUAUUACUUAGGGUCUGAUUCAGCAGCUGCAUCAAGAGAAGACCAAGCAAGACUAAAAUGAUCCUUGAGCCAUUUGAAAGAGCUAGCUAUGCAGUAAUGAGGUUUGGGAACCAUAUAAAGGAAUUGAUUUGACGUCUCUGAGCAUUAUACUGAUGACUUAAUUUCUUCCUGAAUCCUUAGGGCAUGUUAGAUUCUUUGCAGGUUGAAGAUCACAUUAAUGUUGCAAUUUCUCAUGACUACCAAAAAGUAGGUAAAGAGUACGUACCUAAAUUAUAACAAGAUUACUUUGAACCUAGACCCCUCAGAAUUCCUCUGGUUGUUGUUAAAACUGUGUGUAUAAAGGAGGGGCAUGCAUAAAGAUGACUUGUGGCAUCUCACAGCCGCUCUUUUCUGUCUGUCCUGUAUCUUCUCUGACUCUCAAGUGAUCAGAUUGACACUUGGAGUCUUUUCUCAACAACCAACAUGCCAUGCUGGGAAUCCAUAUGGUUUCCAUGGAAUUCAUAUUCUGCCUGUAGUAGCAGGUGCUGUUAUUGCCAUUGCAACUCUACUUAGGUCCAGGGUAAUGCUGUGUCACUGAGAAGCCACUGCUUGAAAGAGGAGCAAGACCCCAGGGGGAAGUUUCCACAGACCGGCUACGUUUGUGUGGAUCAGUAACAGUCUGCUUCCCACUGCUGCCAUUGACCUCAUUCUGUCGCUCAUGGAAGUGGCAGUUCUGGUCAUGAGCCCCACUGUCCUCGUAAGACCUUUUGUCAGCAUCACCAGGCCCUGGCCAACUGCCGUCACUACCGUAUCUUUUCUCUUCCUAUUGACACCGAAGACACCAGCUUUACAUUUCUCUGGAACAGGCCUUGAUCUGUUUCUUGGGUUUCCUUCGUGUUGCUUCUCUUUAACUGGAGUCUUUGUCUAAACUGAGUAACCAUUUUCCUCCCAUUACCCGGACCAGAUUUUAUCAUGUAUCGGCAAGUCUCUUUUUCUUGCACAUACUAUCUGUCAUUUUCACCUGUCUGGUCAGAAUUUUCCAAUCUCUGUCACCUUGUAUUUUUUUAAUUGCUUGCCUUUGUUUAUUUGUUAAUUGAGUUGUUUGUAGAGGGGGAGGAAUGGAAUGAUUUAAUAAUUUAUACAAUCAAAAUCAUUUUUGUUUUUGUUUUCCAUGAUAUUUGCUCUUAUUAUUAUUGUUAUCUGAAACAUUGGAAUCGUCUAAGUUUUCAUCAGUGGUUUAAAUAAACAGAAUCAUUCUCGAGUAAAAUACUUUUAACACUAAGCUGCAUGAAAUGAUAUUGAAAAAUGACCUGCCAACUCUGGGUAGGGCGAAUGAGUGGGAGUUUAUCGUGGACUUCAAUGAGGAGGAAUGGGUUUUAGGUCUGAGGUCAAAUCAGUGUAAAAGUCAAUUAAAGCAACAAUUAAAUGGAGGUAUUUUAUAGGACCUGUAUGAAUAAAUAAAGUAGGUAUUGAUGUAGAUUUAAGAGAGUUGAAACAGAAUCCUUGAAGAAUUAAAAACACAUAUUGAAGUGUGUCGUUUCUUUCCCCGUGAGCACCCAGUUGGAAUUUUUUGGCACAUUUGCAAAGUAAAAAUGGGGUUGCAUGAAUUAUGCACAGUAUUCUCAACUGCACAUAGUCUCUGCACGGGAACCGUCGUGACCUCCCCCCGGGUCUUGUUGCUCCAUCCAAAAAAGAGACUAUUCGUGCUAUUAGACGUGCUGAAUUGAAUUGCAGGGGAAGAAAUAUGCAGACUAUCCCACUCCCUGCAUCCCAAACCAAAGCACCCAAAUUGCACAUUGAAUGUGUUGUUCAGACCAAAACCAUUAUAUACCCUGUGAUUCUUACAGUAGUUUAUUCUGUCUGAAAAUUACGGGUUGGCAUUUCAAAGUAAUAUUUUAGAAGAGGAAAUGGGUAUUUUAGAAGAAUAUUUCUUUUGGCAUAUGCUGUGUCAGAAUGAAACUUUUUUCCCAAUGGCAAAUUUGGGGUUUUGUCUUUGAAGGCAGAAGAGGAGAGAUGGAAAAUAGCAUGUGACUGAAAUACAUCUUUCAUAUCUUAACUUCCAACUCUUCCUUCAUAGAGUGGCCUCUGUUAAGAUUAAUUUUACUGCUACUGAAAACUGUCUGAAGAUGAGAGAGUUUCAGUAAGAAAAGCAGAGAGUAAACAAAGCUAACGUGGCAAAAACGAAUGCCAUGAAGCCUGAAUAAACACAACAUGGAUAAACUGAUUUGUUCCACUCCAUUAAGAUACAUUGAAGCUGGAGAAGCUUUUAGGACUUUGAUGUACAUAGAGGUAAAAAUGGUGUGUUUUUAUCAAGCUGAAUGCUAAUUGUUCAGAGCUCUGAAGAGGAAUAAUGGUGCUACAACAGAGUGGAUGUGUGUGAGCUUUGUGGCCUAAAACUGUCUUCUUAUCCCAACUCUGUCAUUGACUAGUUAAGUGUGAGCAAGUGACUUUAUCUAAGUCUUAUUUACCACAUCUGUCUCUGUCAGAGGGGAAUUGUUAUGUGAAGAGUGAGAAGUAAAUAAAUCAUCAAAACUAAACACAAUGAAAGAACUGAACACAAUGCCUGGCGUCCAUAUAUUAAGUUCUCAGUGAAUGCUACUAUGUAUUAUUUUCAUUUAUUAUAUGACAAAAAGAUUGUUAAAUAAGCAAUAGCGAGGUUCUUAUUUUAAAUGUGUCCAAAUUUUUAUAGUAAGUUAUACUGCUAGUAGUUUCAUAGGUGAAAGUUACCAUAAACAUGAAGUGGAAAAUUAUUGUUUAAAACAUUUUAGUAUUUUCUCAACUCUGCUGUAUCCACUUUCCUGAUUAUUCAUAAGCUCUCAGCACUUCUUCUGAAUGUAAGUACUUGUCAGUCGUCAUAAUGGCCUCCAAGGAGAGAGAUGUCAAAAAAUGCAUUUGAAGCCUGUUUUGAUGUCUACACCUGCUGAGCCCAUGUCUCUACAAUUUGACAUCAGUGGAAGCCAUAAAUGGCAAUCAUAUCAUCAGGAAAUCAGAUCCAGUCCUCAAAAUAUCUAGUGACCCAUUCUUUCAUAUGCCUGUGUGAAGAGAUUUAUAUACUCAGGAUGGUUUUGUGUGUGUGUGUGUGUGUGUGCAUGCAUGCACAUGUACAUUCAGGAUGCCAGGUCUGAGUGUUCCAGUGGUCUGCAGUGGAAUCAUCUCAAGGAGUAGCUAUGUUUGCAGAAUGGCACUGACCAUUUAGUUAAAGCCCAAUGCAUUUUAACCAUGUGUUACCACAUCCAACACAUACAGUUCUUUGCCUUGUUUGAUUACAUAGGAAUGUGGAAGGCAUAUCUGAACGGCAUAUCUUUUAAUUGUAUAACAAGAUUAAGAAUAGAAAAACUUAGGUUAAGAAAUUAUAGGGAGUUCCCGUCGUGGCUCAGGGGUUAACGAAUCCGACUGGGAACCACGAGGUUGCGUGUUCGAUCCCUGGCAUCACUCAGUGGAUUAAGGAUCCGGCAUUGCUGUGAGCUAUGAUGUAGGUUGCAGAGGCGGCUCAGAUGUGGCGUUGCUGUGGUUCUGGUGCAGCCCAGCGGCUACAACUCCGAUUAGACCCCUCUCCUGGGAAUCUCCAUAUGCCGCUAGUGUGGCCCUAGAAAAGACCAAAAAAAAAAAAAA